CUGGAUGACCUGGACGGGGAGCUACGCCGGGCCAAGAAGCGUCCGUCGUCGUCGCGAAAAAUGUCCACCGCCUCGUCUUCCUCGCUGUCUCGGCCGCUGUCCACCGCCGAGCCGUCCAAAGUCAGCUCGUCUCGCUCGAUGAUGUCGUGCCGCUCCAUCUCGUCUCCCGGCGAGGCGCCACGUCAACUGGUGGCGCGCGAGUCGGGCUCCACGUGCCACGAGCAGCGCCGCGUCGAGCUCAGUCCGCCGGUGGAGGUGCGCUCCUGACGGCACGUGCCGGGCGCCGCCAACGGCGUCCGAGAGGUGCAAAUCUGACCGGUCACCGGGGUAUGGGGUGCAGAUCUGAUCUGACACGGCGUCCGCGAGGUGCAGCCCUGACCGGUCACCGGGGCAUGGUGCAUGCAGAUCUGAUUAGCCUAACGGCGUGCGUUCCGCAAGGUAAAGAUCUGACUUGGUACGAGGUCACCGUGAACAUAUCUGACCUAGUACGAGGUCACUGUGAACAGAUCGGACCGGUCACUGGAGCAGGGGGUGGGAUUUGACCUGAGGAGGUGCAGAUCUGACCAGAGGAUCUGCACAUCUGAGAGGAAAUGUGACUGCAAAUGUUUUGAUCUACAUUUAUUCCCAGCUCGGUAUGUGAGUUAUUGAUGGUCCGAAAAGAUAAAAUUGUGACCUGACUUGUCAAUGACAAGUUGCGCUCAGUGACCAAGAGCUUGAAAAGCUAAAUGUUUCGUCAUCAUCCGUGGCGACAUAUUAUAUAUUCGGCUGUACGGAAUGGACAGAUGAGUGACAAGGAUUAGAUUGUCUAUGCGUCGAGGUAAAGUGAGUACGGUGUGCUCGGUGUGACGAGAUCAAGGGCAGGCUGCGAAUGUUGCCGUUACCUGAGACAAAGACGCGAAAACUUCCAAAGAAAAAUGAUUAUUAGUGUAAGGUGUAUUUAAAUUACGUCGAAAUUGACUUACCAACGUUCAAUUUGCUAUAAGACUGGGUUGGCUUGAAACGGUGACGGUAGACAGAACCCCAGUAUCCACGACCUUGGGUACCUAAUUGGGAACAAUUGGUGCAAUAUCGAUUGUGAUCAACAUAUCGAUGCACACUGUAAUCAUAUCGAUGUUUUCCCGUGACAGAUUGCGCGUACCUACGGAUCCAUGUACAAUCGUACGAACAUACUAGCGUAUAUCAUUUACUUACGUGAACUGUUGAGUGUUGCUGUUUCGUUUAAGGUACCUACUUGAAGCGUUGAUUUAUCGUCCCGAGUGUGCUAUUCUAAGGAGCACGCCGAGCGAUUUGCUGUUGCCGCGGAGUUGGUCCGCCCCGUACCUAUACGUAACGCUGUUUGUCCCGAGCGUCUGUGCGCGCAUGCACGCAGCACGGCAUGCAUGUAGGUACGGCGGAUGUGUGGUUGUUCUUGUUGCUGUUGGCCCAACGUUUUUGAUGCCGCUACCAGUCUGUAACGGUAAAAUAUGCGCUUGUAUUAGGUGCAAUCAUUCUAUAUGUUCUUACGAAGUACGAACAUGUCGAUAUUUGGCGUAUGGAACGGGCUUAGAUAAGUGUCAGAGAUGUGAAUGCAAUGAGCGAGCCUAUCGUUAAAAAUGCACAACUUGCUGUGCUGCUAUCUGAGUCAUCAUGUCAGUUGCAUUGAUGCAUGGAACGAUUCCAUCUCAGUUUCGAUGUCGGAUGUCGUUUGUCAGAUGUCAGAUGUCGAUGUUUGAAUCCAGCGUUGUUUUCAUCAUUGCUAUCAUUAGGCUAUAGGA
Long non-coding RNA from Amphibalanus amphitrite, 1754 nucleotides. RefSeq lists it as uncharacterized. The record is from RefSeq and is a predicted model, not a curated record. NCBI's taxonomy places the organism in Eukaryota, Metazoa, Arthropoda, Thecostraca, Balanomorpha, Balanidae. The transcript is spliced from 2 exons.